Molecule: ribosomal RNA, 707 nt
Filed under: Bacillus sp. FJAT-4559
Lineage: Bacteria; Bacillati; Bacillota; Bacilli; Caryophanales; Bacillaceae
Description: bacterial SSU rRNA
Rfam family: Bacterial small subunit ribosomal RNA
Source: RNAcentral
UGCAGUCGAGCGAAUGGAUUGAGAGCUUGCUCUCAAGAAGUUAGCGGCGGACGGGUGAGUAACACGUGGGUAACCUGCCCAUAAGACUGGGAUAACUCCGGGAAACCGGGGCUAAUACCGGAUAACAUUUUGAACUGCAUGGUUCGAAAUUGAAAGGCGGCUUCGGCUGUCACUUAUGGAUGGACCCGCGUCGCAUUAGCUAGUUGGUGAGGUAACGGCUCACCAAGGCAACGAUGCGUAGCCGACCUGAGAGGGUGAUCGGCCACACUGGGACUGAGACACGGCCCAGACUCCUACGGGAGGCAGCAGUAGGGAAUCUUCCGCAAUGGACGAAAGUCUGACGGAGCAACGCCGCGUGAGUGAUGAAGGCUUUCGGGUCGUAAAACUCUGUUGUUAGGGAAGAACAAGUGCUAGUUGAAUAAGCUGGCACCUUGACGGUACCUAACCAGAAAGCCACGGCUAACUACGUGCCAGCAGCCGCGGUAAUACGUAGGUGGCAAGCGUUAUCCGGAAUUAUUGGGCGUAAAGCGCGCGCAGGUGGUUUCUUAAGUCUGAUGUGAAAGCCCACGGCUCAACCGUGGAGGGUCAUUGGAAACUGGGAGACUUGAGUGCAGAAGAGGAAAGUGGAAUUCCAUGUGUAGCGGUGAAAUGCGUAGAGAUAUGGAGGAACACCAGUGGCGAAGGCGACUUUCUGGUCUGUAACUGAC